Molecule: small RNA, 985 nt
Filed under: Hermatomyces reticulatus
Lineage: Eukaryota; Fungi; Ascomycota; Dothideomycetes; Pleosporales; Hermatomycetaceae
Description: eukaryotic LSU rRNA
Rfam family: Eukaryotic large subunit ribosomal RNA (bases 462-985)
Source: RNAcentral
CAUUAUCGAGGGGGCUUGCCCCCGUCAAGAUACCACCCCUUGCCUUUUGAGUACCGUCUGUUUCCUCGGCAGGCUCGCCUGCCAAUGAGGACCACAUCCAAACCUUUUUGUAUCUGUAGUAAACGUCUGAUAAAACAAAAAAUCAAAACUUUCAACAACGGAUCUCUUGGUUCUGGCAUCGAUGAAGAACGCAGCGAAAUGCGAUAAGUAGUGUGAAUUGCAGAAUUCAGUGAAUCAUCGAAUCUUUGAACGCACAUUGCGCCCUUUGGUAUUCCUUAGGGCAUGCCUGUUCGAGCGUCAUCUAACCCUUCAAGCAUUGCUUGGUGUUGGGCGUUUGUCCCGCCUCUGGCGUGGACUCGCCUCAAAGACAUUGGCGGCCUGUGUAUUGGCUUCGAGCGCAGCAGACUCGCGCGUCGUCCCCUCUAGCACCAGGUGUCCAGUAAGCCUAUGACCCCAAAGUUUGACCUCGGAUCAGGUAGGGAUACCCGCUGAACUUAAGCAUAUCAAUAAGCGGAGGAAAAGAAACCAACAGGGAUUGCCCUAGUAACGGCGAGUGAAGCGGCAAGAGCUCAAAUUUGAAAUCUGGCUCCUUUGGGGUCCGAGUUGUAAUUUGUAGAGGGUGCUUUGGUGUCGGCUAUGGCCUAAGUUCCUUGGAACAGGACGUCACAGAGGGUGAGAACCCCGUAUGUGGCUGCUAGCCUUCACCGUGUAAAGCCCCUUCGACGAGUCGAGUUGUUUGGGAAUGCAGCUCUAAAUGGGAGGUAAAUUUCUUCUAAAGCUAAAUAUUGGCCAGAGACCGAUAGCGCACAAGUAGAGUGAUCGAAAGAUGAAAAGCACUUUGGAAAGAGAGUCAAAAAGCACGUGAAAUUGUUGAAAGGGAAGCGCUUGCAGCCAGACUUGCCCGUAGUCGCUCAUCCGAGCUCUUGCUCGGUGCACUCUUCUGCGGGCAGGCCAGCAUCAGUCCGGGCGGUCGGAUAAAGGCUCU